UACGUAGGGACCAAGCGUUGUUCGGAUUUACUGGGCGUAAAGGGCGCGUAGGCGGCAUGACAAGUCACUUGUGAAGUCUCCGGGCUUAACUCGGAACGGUCAAGUGAUACUGUCGCGCUAGAGUGCGGAAGGGGCAAUCAGAAUUCUUGGUGUAGCGGUGAAAUGCGUAGAUAUCAAGAGGAAUACCUGAGGUGAAGACGGGUUGCUAGGCCGACACUGACGCUGAAGCGCGAAAGCCAGGGGAGCAAACGGG
This 253-nucleotide ribosomal RNA is filed under the name uncultured bacterium. RNAcentral describes it as "partial 16S ribosomal RNA". It matches the Rfam family "Bacterial small subunit ribosomal RNA", at positions 524 to 776 of the family's 1533-position model. The record is from RNAcentral.